UACGGAGGGAGCUAGCGUUGUUCGGAAUUACUGGGCGUAAAGCGCACGUAGGCGGCUUUGUAAGUUAGAGGUGAAAUCCCGGGGCUCAACCCCGGAACUGCCUUUAAGACUGCAUCGCUUGAAUCCAGGAGAGGUGAGUGGAAUUCCGAGUGUAGAGGUGAAAUUCGUAGAUAUUCGGAAGAACACCAGUGGCGAAGGCAGCUCACUGGACUGGUAUUGACGCUGAGGUGCGAAAGCGUGGGGAGCAAACAGG
RNAcentral lists this ribosomal RNA (253 nucleotides) under uncultured bacterium. Its description in RNAcentral is "partial 16S ribosomal RNA". It matches the Rfam family "Bacterial small subunit ribosomal RNA", at positions 524 to 776 of the family's 1533-position model. The record is from RNAcentral.